CUGGCGGCGUGCCUAAUACAUGCAAGUCGAACGGUCUUUCUAUGGAAGCUUGCUUCCACUGAGAAGAUAGUGGCGAACGGGUGAGUAACACGUGGGUAACCCUGCCCAUAAGAGGGGGGAUAACAUCCGGAAACGGGUGCUAAUACCGCAUAGUUUUCUUGAUCGCAUGAUUGAGAAAGGAAAGACGGCCUUUGUGCUGUCGCUUAUGGAUGGACCCGCGGCGUAUUAGUUAGUUGGUGAGGUAACGGCUCACCAAGACGAUGAUACGUAGCCGACCUGAGAGGGUGAUCGGCCACAUUGGGGCUGAGACACGGCCCAAACUCCUACGGGAGGCAGCAGUAGGGAAUCUUCCGCAAUGGACGAAAGUCUGACGGAGCAACGCCGCGUGAGUGAAAGAAGGUUUUCGGAUCGUAAAACUCUGUUGUCAGAGAAGAACAAGUUGGAGAGUAACUGCUCCAGCCUUGACGGUAUCUGACCAGAAAGCCACGGCUAACUACGUGCCAGCCGCGGC
This 511-nucleotide ribosomal RNA is filed under the name uncultured bacterium. RNAcentral describes it as "bacterial SSU rRNA". It matches the Rfam family "Bacterial small subunit ribosomal RNA", at positions 36 to 518 of the family's 1533-position model. The record is from RNAcentral.